CUCUGUGGGAUCAGUGGCGAACGGGUGAGUAACACGUGAGCAACCUGCCCCUGACUCUGGGAUAAGCGCUGGAAACGGCGUCUAAUACUGGAUACGAGUAGCGACCGCAUGGUCAGUUACUGGAAAGAUUUAUUGGUUGGGGAUGGGCUCGCGGCCUAUCAGCUUGUUGGUGAGGUAAUGGCUCACCAAGGCGUCGACGGGUAGCCGGCCUGAGAGGGUGACCGGCCACACUGGGACUGAGACACGGCCCAGACUCCUACGGGAGGCAGCAGUGGGGAAUAUUGCACAAUGGGCGCAAGCCUGAUGCAGCAACGCCGCGUGAGGGAUGACGGCCUUCGGGUUGUAAACCUCUUUUAGCAGGGAAGAAGCGAAAGUGACGGUACCUGCAGAAAAAGCGCCGGCUAACUACGUGCCAGCAGCCGCGGUAAUACGUAGGGCGCAAGCGUUAUCCGGAAUUAUUGGGCGUAAAGAGCUCGUAGGCGGUUUGUCGCGUCUGCUGUGAAAUCCGGAGGCUCAACCUCCGGCCUGCAGUGGGUACGGGCAGACUAGAGUGCGGUAGGGGAGAUUGGAAUUCCUGGUGUAGCGGUGGAAUGCGCAGAUAUCAGGAGGAACACCGAUGGCGAAGGCAGAUCUCUGGGCCGUAACUGACGC
Molecule: ribosomal RNA, 651 nt
Filed under: Microbacterium sp.
Lineage: Bacteria; Bacillati; Actinomycetota; Actinomycetes; Micrococcales; Microbacteriaceae
Description: bacterial SSU rRNA
Rfam family: Bacterial small subunit ribosomal RNA
Source: RNAcentral